Molecule: ribosomal RNA, 263 nt
Filed under: uncultured bacterium
Lineage: Bacteria
Description: partial 16S ribosomal RNA
Rfam family: Bacterial small subunit ribosomal RNA
Source: RNAcentral
GUCCACGCCCUAAACGAUGCGAACUGGACGUUGGGAGCAACUAGGCUCUCAGUGUCGAAGCUAACGCGUUAAGUUCGCCGCCUGGGGAGUACGGUCGCAAGACUGAAACUCAAAGGAAUUGACGGGGCCCGCACAAGCGGUGGAGUAUGUGGUUUAAUUCGAUGCAACGCGAAGAACCUUACCUGGUCUUGACAUCCACGGAAGUCUGCAGAGAUGCGGAUGUGCCUUCGGGAACCGUGAGACAGGUGCUGCAUGGCUGUCGU